UGGCCUUGACAUACUAAGAACUUUCCAGAGAUGGAUUGGUGCCUUCGGGAACUUAGAUACAGGUGCUGCAUGGCUGUCGUCAGCUCGUGUCGUGAGAUGUUGGGUUAAGUCCGCAACGAGCGCAACCCUUUUCCUUAUUUGCCAGCGGGUAAUGCCGGGAACUUUAAGGAUACUGCCAGUGACAAACUGGAGGAAGGCGGGGACGACGUCAAGUCAUCAUGGCCCUUACGGCCAGGGCUACACACGUGCUACAAUGGUCGGUACAAAGGGUUGCUACCUCGCGAGAGGAUGCUAAUCUCAAAAAGCCGAUCGUAGUCCGGAUCGCAGUCUGCAACUCGACUGCGUGAAGUCGGAAUCGCUAGUAAUCGCGGAUCAGAAUGCCGCGGUCGAAUACGUUCCCGGGCCUUGUACACACCGCCCGUCACACCAUGGGAGUUUGUUGCACCAGAAGUAGGUAGUCUAACCGCAAGGAGGACGCUUACCACGGUGUGGCCGAUGACUGGGGUGAAGUCGUAACAAGGUAGGCGUAGAUGA
RNAcentral lists this ribosomal RNA (534 nucleotides) under uncultured bacterium. RNAcentral's name for it is "bacterial SSU rRNA". It matches the Rfam family "Bacterial small subunit ribosomal RNA", at positions 976 to 1509 of the family's 1533-position model. The record is from RNAcentral.